Mustela erminea (ermine) is the source of this 377-nucleotide long non-coding RNA. RefSeq lists it as uncharacterized. The transcript is spliced from 3 exons. The record is from RefSeq and is a predicted model, not a curated record. Lineage: Eukaryota; Metazoa; Chordata; Mammalia; Carnivora; Mustelidae.
GUGCGCCUGCCGGCCAGGAGGAGAAGGUAGGGGGCGGGGGCGAGCAGCGGGGGCGAGCGGCGGGGGACGGCCAAAUUCCUCCCAGCGCAGGACUGAGGAGCUUGGAUUUGAUCCAUUGGGAGCUAGGGAGCCAUGGGAAGACCGCGAGAGACUAACCCGAUGGGAUUUGUGUGUUUGGAAGAGCCUUGGGUGGAAACUAGAAAGACUGAUGCUCGUGUCCCAGCGUCUGGCAUUUAUUGAGCACCUAACCUACACCAGGCACUGUGCGGGUCCCUGAGGGGUCACAAUGCCUGCCAUCCUGGGCCACAAUGCUGAGAGGCAGAGAGAGACUUUCAAGAGACAGAGAGCAAGUAGGGGGAGCAGCAGGAAGAGGGAGA